Long non-coding RNA from Cyanistes caeruleus (blue tit), 293 nucleotides. RefSeq lists it as uncharacterized. Lineage: Eukaryota; Metazoa; Chordata; Aves; Passeriformes; Paridae. The record is from RefSeq and is a predicted model, not a curated record.
AUGUGCACUGCAAGUGAACAGAUGAAUGGUGUUUUAUGUAAAACCACCUCUACCACUUUUGUGUCUGUUCGAUGGAUUUCUGGUCAUAAGCUAAGGAAACAAGUAACUUGAGGUCUGGAUAUCAUUCUUGAAGACCAGAAGAAUGUUCAACCUGACAGCAGUGGAAUUAGCCAUGACAGUCACUUCACAUGCCUUUGUUAGGCACUACCAGGUCUACCUUGAAUUAGUCUAGAAUCAGUUAGAGGGAGUGGUGGUUAACAGGAAUGUAUAGUUCAUUAAAAUGUUAUGAAUAA